Molecule: unclassified non-coding RNA, 309 nt
Filed under: Hevea brasiliensis (rubber tree)
Lineage: Eukaryota; Viridiplantae; Streptophyta; Magnoliopsida; Malpighiales; Euphorbiaceae
Source: RNAcentral
CCCAGUGAGAAGACAUGAACAGAACCUGAAGAACUUGCUGCUACAAGAAUAUCUGGAAGUUGCGUUGAAGGUCCAAAUGACAAGGAAAAUAUUGUUGAUGGGUAUGUCCCCCUUCUGAAACUAUAUGACUUCGUUGCUUCUAGAACUAGAUGAACUCUGAUUAUAGUUCCCUGCUCAGAUGCUGUAGCAAUGUACAUUCCAUUUGAAGAAAGGGCAACUGCAGCCAAUGGCGCGCGAUGAGCAUCUAUCUCACAAUGUGACUGGACUUCCAUGACAUUGUAGACCAAAACUGAUCCUUUGGUUGUACUA